ACCAAAAUGGUCAGUUGACCACUUUAGGAGUUAUUGCCCUUUAUAGUCAAUUUUUAACCAUUUUUCGUAAAUCUUAGUAAUCUUUUAGAAAAAUCUUCUCCUCUGAAACUACUGGGCCAGAUUUAAACAAACUUGGAAGUAAAAUUGUUGAUCAGGUCACGAUCUAUCUGCCCUGGAAUUUUCAGAUGAAUCGGAUAAUCGGUUGUUAGGUUGCUGCCCCUGAAUUGGUAAUUUUGAGGAAAUUUUGCUGUUUUUUUGUUAUUAUCUUGAAUAUUAUUAUAGAUAAACUGUAAACAGCAAUAAUGUACAGCAAAGUAAGAACUAAAAAUAAGUCAGAAUGACCGAAAUAGUCAAUUGACCCCCUAAGGAGUUAUUGCCCUUCAUAGUCAAUUUUUAACAAUUUUCUUAAAAUUUGAAGAUUUUCAAUAACAUUUUCCACAGAAAGUACUGUUAUAGAUAGAGAUAAUUGUAAGCAGCAAGAAUGUUUAGUAAAGUAAGAUCUACAAACACAUCACCAUCACCAAAACACAAUUUUGUCAUGAAUCCAUCUGUGUCCAUUGUUUAAUAUUAACAUAGACCAAGG
This 583-nucleotide long non-coding RNA is filed under the name Mytilus galloprovincialis (Mediterranean mussel). The record is from RNAcentral. Lineage: Eukaryota; Metazoa; Mollusca; Bivalvia; Mytilida; Mytilidae.